RNAcentral lists this transfer RNA (76 nucleotides) under Caudoviricetes sp. RNAcentral's name for it is "tRNA-Asn". It matches the Rfam family "tRNA". Rfam says of the family: Transfer RNA (tRNA) molecules are approximately 80 nucleotides in length. Their secondary structure includes four short double-helical elements and three loops (D, anti-codon, and T loops). The record is from RNAcentral. Lineage: Duplodnaviria; Heunggongvirae; Uroviricota; Caudoviricetes.
GGGGGAUUAGCUCAGUCGGAAGAGCGCCUGACUGUUAAUCAGGAGGUCAUUGGUUCAAGCCCAGUAUUCCCAGCCA